CAAUAGCGUAUAUUAAAGUUGUUGCAGUUAAAAAGCUCGUAGUUGGAUUUGUGGUGUACUUCGGCGGCCCGUCACUAUGUGAUGGAGCUUGCUGAAGUCGCCAUCCUUGGGUGGAUCCUGUGUGGCAUUAAGUUGUCGUGCAGGGGAUGCCCAUCGUUUACUGUGAAAAAAUUAGAGUGUUCAAAGCAGGCUUAUGCCGUUGAAUAAAUUAGCAUGGAAUAAUAAGAUAGGACCUUGGUACUAUUUUGUUGGUUUGCGCACCAAGGUAAUGAUUAAUAGGGACAGUUGGGGGUAUUCGUAUUUCAUUGUCAGAGGUGAAAUUCUUGGAUUUUUGAAAGACGAACUACUGCGAAANCANNNACCAAGGAUGUUUUCAUNAA
This 380-nucleotide ribosomal RNA is filed under the name uncultured eukaryote. RNAcentral's name for it is "partial 18S ribosomal RNA". It matches the Rfam family "Eukaryotic small subunit ribosomal RNA", at positions 592 to 976 of the family's 1831-position model. The record is from RNAcentral.